Molecule: transfer RNA, 85 nt
Filed under: Acidiferrobacter sp. SPIII_3
Lineage: Bacteria; Pseudomonadati; Pseudomonadota; Gammaproteobacteria; Acidiferrobacterales; Acidiferrobacteraceae
Description: tRNA-Met
Source: RNAcentral
GGGUUUCAGUGUAAGUGGACGGCAGGCCAAACAAAUAGGACUCAUAAUCCUCUGGUCGAAGGUUCGAGUCCCUCCGGGCCCACCA